This 72-nucleotide transfer RNA is filed under the name bacterium. RNAcentral's name for it is "tRNA-Gly". It matches the Rfam family "tRNA". Rfam says of the family: Transfer RNA (tRNA) molecules are approximately 80 nucleotides in length. Their secondary structure includes four short double-helical elements and three loops (D, anti-codon, and T loops). The record is from RNAcentral.
GCGGGAGUAGCUCAGUGGUAGAGCAUCAGCUUCCCAAGCUGAGGGUCGCGGGUUCGAGUCCCGUCUCCCGCU